AUUAAGUGAGCAUGUUUAUGUAACUGAGUUAGAAUUAGUAGAAAGUAGGAAACUAUUACUUAAUU
RNAcentral lists this transfer RNA (65 nucleotides) under Nierstraszella lineata. RNAcentral's name for it is "tRNA-Leu". Lineage: Eukaryota; Metazoa; Mollusca; Polyplacophora; Lepidopleurida; Nierstraszellidae. The record is from RNAcentral.